Molecule: ribosomal RNA, 325 nt
Filed under: uncultured eukaryote
Lineage: Eukaryota
Description: partial 18S ribosomal RNA
Rfam family: Eukaryotic small subunit ribosomal RNA
Source: RNAcentral
CCCUUAGAUGUCCUGGGCCGCACGCGCGCUACACUGAUGCAUUCAACGAGUAUUUCCUUGGCCGAGAGGCCUGGGCAAUCUUUUAAACCUGCAUCGUGAUAGGGAUAGAUUAUUGCAAUUAUUAAUCUUGAACGAGGAAUUCCUAGUAAACGCAAAUCAUCAAUUUGCAUUGAUUACGUCCCUGCCCUUUGUACACACCGCCCGUCGCACCUACCGAUUGAAUGGUCCGGUGAAAUCUCGGGAUUGUGGCCAGUUCACUUUAUUGGGAGUUGGCUGCGAGAACUUGCUUAAACCUUAUCAUUUAGAGGAAGGUGAAGUUGUAACA